AUUGAACGCUGGCGGCAUGCUUUACACAUGCAAGUCGAACGGUAACAGGCCGCAAGGUGCUGACGAGUGGCGAACGGGUGAGUAAUGCAUCGGAAGGUGCCCAGUCGUGGGGGAUAACGCAGCGAAAGCUGUGCUAAUACCGCAUACGAUCUAUGGAUGAAAGCGGGGGACCGUAAGGCCUCGCGCGAUUGGAGAGGCCGAUGUCAGAUUAGGUAGUUGGUGGGGUAAAGGUUCACCAAGCCAACGAUCUGUAGCUGGUCUGAGAGGACGACCAGCCACACUGGGACUGAGACACGGCCCAGACUCCUACGGGAGGCAGCAGUGGGGAAUUUUGGACAAUGGGCGCAAGCCUGAUCCAGCAAUGCCGCGUGCAGGAAGAAGGCCUUCGGGUUGUAAACUGCUUUUGUACGGAACGAAAGGGUUUGGGUUAAUACCCUGGGCCGAUGACGGUACCGUAAGAAUAAGCACCGGCUAACUACGUGCCAGCCGCCGCAGUAA
This 498-nucleotide ribosomal RNA is filed under the name uncultured bacterium. RNAcentral's name for it is "partial 16S ribosomal RNA". It matches the Rfam family "Bacterial small subunit ribosomal RNA", at positions 30 to 523 of the family's 1533-position model. The record is from RNAcentral.